RNAcentral lists this ribosomal RNA (1160 nucleotides) under Janthinobacterium lividum. Its description in RNAcentral is "partial 23S ribosomal RNA". It matches the Rfam family "Bacterial large subunit ribosomal RNA", at positions 1 to 1209 of the family's 2925-position model. Lineage: Bacteria; Pseudomonadati; Pseudomonadota; Betaproteobacteria; Burkholderiales; Oxalobacteraceae. The record is from RNAcentral.
GGACAAGCGAAUAAGUGCACAUGGUGGAUGCCUUGGCGAUUACAGGCGAUGAAGGACGUAGUAGCUUGCGAUAAGCUGCGGGGAGUGAGCAAACACACUUUGAUCCGCAGAUUUCCGAAUGGGGCAACCCACCCUUUUAGGGUAUUGCAUACUGAAUACAUAGGUAUGCAAGGCGAACGCGGCGAACUGAAACAUCUAAGUAGCUGCAGGAAAAGAAAUCAACCGAGAUUCCCAAAGUAGCGGCGAGCGAAAUGGGAAGAGCCUGUACGUGAUAGUCGGACCGAUAACAGAAUCCUCUGGAAAUAGGAGCCAUAGUGGGUGAUAGCCCCGUAUGUGAAAUCGGACCGGUGGUACUAAGCGUACGACAAGUAGGGCGGGACACGUGACAUCCUGUCUGAAUAUGGGGGGACCAUCCUCCAAGGCUAAAUACUCGUAAUCGACCGAUAGUGAACCAGUACCGUGAGGGAAAGGCGAAAAGAACCCCGGAAGGGGAGUGAAAUAGAUCCUGAAACCGUGUGCAUACAAACAGUAGGAGCGGACUUGUUCCGUGACUGCGUACCUUUUGUAUAAUGGGUCAGCGACUUACAUUCAGUGGCAAGGUUAACCAUAUAGGGAAGCCGUAGAGAAAUCGAGUCCGAAUAGGGCGAUCAGUCGCUGGGUGUAGACCCGAAACCAAGUGAUCUACUCAUGGCCAGGAUGAAGGUGCGGUAACACGCCCUGGAGGUCCGAACCCACUAAUGUUGAAAAAUUAGGGGAUGAGCUGUGGGUAGGGGUGAAAGGCUAAACAAACUUGGAAAUAGCUGGUUCUCUCCGAAAACUAUUUAGGUAGUGCCUCAAGUAUCACCAUCGGGGGUAGAGCACUGUUAUGGCUAGGGGGUCAUUGCGACUUACCAAACCAUUGCAAACUCCGAAUACCGAUGAGUGCGAGCUUGGGAGACAGACGUCGGGUGCUAACGUCCGGCGUCAAGAGGGAAACAACCCAGACCGCCAGCUAAGGUCCCAAAGAUUGGCUAAGUGGAAAACGAAGUGGGAAGGCUAAAACAGUCAGGAUGUUGGCUUAGAAGCAGCCAUCAUUUAAAGAAAGCGUAAUAGCUCACUGAUCGAGUCGUCCUGCGCGGAAGAUGUAACGGGGCUAAGCCAGUCACCGAAGCUGCGGAUAU